This 462-nucleotide ribosomal RNA is filed under the name Streptococcus mitis. RNAcentral's name for it is "bacterial SSU rRNA". It matches the Rfam family "Bacterial small subunit ribosomal RNA", at positions 28 to 474 of the family's 1533-position model. Lineage: Bacteria; Bacillati; Bacillota; Bacilli; Lactobacillales; Streptococcaceae. The record is from RNAcentral.
GACGAACGCUGGCGGCGUGCCUAAUACAUGCAAGUAGAACGCUGAAGGAGGAGCUUGCUUCUCCGGAUGAGUUGCGAACGGGUGAGUAACGCGUAGGUAACCUGUCUGGUAGCGGGGGAUAACUAUUGGAAACGAUAGCUAAUACCGCAUAAGAGUAGAUGUUGCAUGACAUUUGCUUAAAAGGUGCAAUUGCAUCACUACCAGAUGGACCUGCGUUGUAUUAGCUAGUUGGUGGAGUAACGGCUCACCAAGGCGACGAUACAUAGCCGACCUGAGAGGGUGAUCGGCCACACUGGGACUGAGACACGGCCCAGACUCCUACGGGAGGCAGCAGUAGGGAAUCUUCGGCAAUGGACGGAAGUCUGACCGAGCAACGCCGCGUGAGUGAAGAAGGUUUUCGGAUCGUAAAGCUCUGUUGUAAGAGAAGAACGAGUGUGAGAGUGGAAAGUUCACACUGUGACG